Pimephales promelas (fathead minnow) is the source of this 234-nucleotide non-coding RNA. The record is from RefSeq and is a predicted model, not a curated record. NCBI's taxonomy places the organism in Eukaryota, Metazoa, Chordata, Actinopteri, Cypriniformes, Leuciscidae.
CUCUUCCAAAAGUUUCGUUCACCCGCAGAGGAAACCUCUGGAGAUCAAAAGGAACACUUUGAGUAGAAACACUGGAUCUGCAUGCAGAAGAUCCCAAUGGCAGCAACAAUCAUCAGAGAUCCAGCCGAGAUCAACACUAUCAGAGACACUGGAGGAGGAGUGUGUGUGUCCGCUGUAAUGACAAACAAAGAAGUGAGCGCGUCAGUGUGAUCUAGAACAGAAGACAGAGAUCAG